ACACCCCCACAGUGACACACAUUCUCCAACAAGGCCACACCUACUUCAACAAAUUCGUACCUCCUAAUAGUUUCAUUUAUUGUGCCAAGCAUAUUCAAACCACCACACCUCCCCCGGGAGCUACAAUACCUCUGGAUGAGCAGACUUCCUCUCAGAGCUGUGUGGUUGCUGGUCUCUAGUGUCUCUGGAUACUCUUCCAUUGGGACACUCUCCUGCUUCAAAGCUGUGUACAUCCUAGGCUUCCAAGUCACAGGACACCUUCCCAUCCCAGCAGAAAGGUCAAGGUUUUGGUGUAGUGCUUCGUGUAGACUUUCUCUGUGGCUUGUGCUUCCCCAACUCUGGAGAGAUCGAACUGCUCUAGGACUCUUCCAUCUCCGGCUGGCCUGCAGCAGACUCAUCUUCCAGCUCACCUAUAGCUCAUCAUCCUAUCCACUAGCAACAAUUAGGUCUGCCUGCAGACACCUGAGCAGACACAGGUGAGACCUGAGACCUCAAAAGCAAACAUUCACAGAAAGUAUAUGAUGGGCCAAACCUGGAAACUGGAGGAGAGACAGGAGCAUGUUGUUCUCUGAGAGGCUCCACCCAGCAGCUGACUCAAACAGAUACAGAUACCCACAGCCAAACAGUGGAUGGAGCUUGUGGACUCUUAAGAAGAAUAGGAGGAAGGAUUUCAGGGCCCAAAGGGGAUAGGAACUCCACAAGAAGACUAACAGAGUCAACUCACCUGGACCCUUGGGUCUCUCAGAGUCUGAACCAUCAACCAAAGAACAUAGACAGGCUGCACCUAGGCCUCCCAGAUGUGUAGCAGAUGUGCAGCUUGGUCUUCAUGUGAGUCCUAAAAAAUCUGGAGUAUUAGCUAUCCCAAAAGUUGUUGCUAGUAAGUGAGAUAUGUUCUACUAGCUAAGCUGCCUUGUCUGGCCUCAAAGAGACUUGCAGUGCCAGGGUAGGGGGCAUACACAGGCUCUCCCUCCACUCUGAGAAGAAGGGGAGGGGGAGGGAUUAUGGGAGGAGUUAACUGAAAGGAGGAGCAGUGAACAGGGUGUAAAGUGAGUACGUAAAAAACAGUAAAAUUGAAUAAAAGAUUCCAGUGUAGCUUUCAUCAAUACUCAGCUGGAUCUCCUCAGAAUCUAUGAAGCUGAGAGUCAACCUCUGUGCAGGAUGAAAGUCACCACACAGCCUCUGGAUAAUUUUCAGUUGGCAUAUUGUAUACACUUUUUUAGCUGAUUUCACAUUAUCUAACAACACUCCACAUAGCCCUUGAACAUCAUAAUAUCUAGUUUGCCAGCUAAAUGAUAUAUAGUUCCUAUUGGCCACAGGCUUAUCAUUAUGUGUGAGUUUCUAGAUCAUUCUUUGAGGCCCUAAUGGAUAGUGCCUGAAAACCUAUCACCCACUUCUGGCAUAAUAUUCACAGCAUUUCAUGCAAAGCCUUUGAUCUGUGAUAAAAAAUAAAGUCCAUAGCAGGAUAA
RNAcentral lists this long non-coding RNA (1466 nucleotides) under Mus musculus (house mouse). RNAcentral describes it as "predicted gene, 41142". Lineage: Eukaryota; Metazoa; Chordata; Mammalia; Rodentia; Muridae. The record is from RNAcentral.